Molecule: long non-coding RNA, 2916 nt
Filed under: Solanum tuberosum (potato)
Lineage: Eukaryota; Viridiplantae; Streptophyta; Magnoliopsida; Solanales; Solanaceae
Description: long non-coding RNA (STUB_LNC001962)
Source: RNAcentral
GACAGUGAAGAGAAUAUAAUAUAAUAUAAUAUAACAACUAUUACGAAAAUAAUAACAACAACAAAAAAGUGCAAUAACCGAAACACCAUAAAAACAAUUGGUGGUAGAAAGCAAAAGCAAGACAACACAAGAAUAAAAGCACUACUACGACAGACACAAUUAAGCCUAAACCCUUCGGAAAGCAAGAGAACACUCCACUACAACCUUCUACCUUAAUCGACGAUCUCCAUACUUAAGCAUUCAUGCGUUGAUAAGUCAUGCGUUGCACCUGCAUCCCAUAUUAAAUAAUAUAAAUCAUAAUUAAAUUGGAGGUUAAUGAGCAACAAAUAAUAUAAAGACAAAAUUACAAUCAAAAUUGAGAAGAAGACUAAAGUCCAAGUCUAAGCAUCUCUUAAUAGUAAUAAGAUAGUUUACCGGUGCAUGUAGUUGUAUUGAUAAUUUGAAAGACUUUUGAUAUUCUAGAAGCCCAUCAACAAAUAUAAUAAGCUAACAGAUGAUAAAUGUAAUUUUUAGUGAAUAAAAUUGACAGAUUAAAUUUCAUUUGUCGAAAAAUGAUUAUCAAAUAUAUAUGUCACUAGAGCUAUAAGCUUAUUACACAACAUGAAAACGAUCCUACUCCUUUUAACUCUUGCUAAAGUUAUGAUACAACGUAACAGUCCUACUCUAUAUUGGCUAAACUUGAUAGUUUAUCUAGCACCGUUCCUUUUAAAAAAUAAUUUCUCCUUAUUACAAGUGCCAUUUUCUCAAUAAAAUAUGACUCUAUGUUUUAUCAUGGUUCUGAUGUACCCAUUUGAAUUUCAUACAAUAGAGGAUAUAAGCCUAUUUAUUGUCGACAUCAAGAUGAUUACCAAGAAAACUAGAGAGCUUAACAAAUAUAAAGGUAAACGAAAUUAUUUGCAGAAAUAUAUGCUGUUAAACACUAUGAAUUGAUCACUGUAAUUGUGUUCUAAGCUAAAACAACAGAAAAGGCUUUCACCAUUGUUGAGACAAUUUCAGAAUGUAUUGAGAAGAAGAUCAAAGAUUACAAACAGCAAUGUACUAGUUACAAUGUUUAUAUAGUAGUAGUAACCGACUCUUACUAACCAUAGUUAACUUAAUCUAACUAUUAACCAGAGUUCUAACAACCUAACUAACUGAAAAUGGGAAAAUAUCUAACCAACUAACUUCUAGACCAAUCAGCAAAUGACACGUCACCCCGCAUCAUCUUUCACAUGCUCAAUAUAUGCAACAAUGAAUUUUACAAGUGAUCUAUUAGAGUACUCCCUCCAUUCCUUUUUAAUUGUCAUUUGUGCUUUUCGAGAGUCAAUUUGACUAAAUUUCUAUGCUAAAUCAGAUUACAGUAAUUCGAUAUUUUAAAAUAAAAUUUUAGAUAUUCAAAAACAAUAUGGAAAGUACUAUAAAUCAAUCUCGUGCUAACAAAAAUGCAUAUGCCACUCUGCAUGUAACUUCAGAAGAAUAAAUAUGAAAACCAGCAAUAUUCAUUAGCUUCAUAAUACUGCGAUAACUGUUACCUAUCAAGAUUGCUAUCAUGGUGUUUCCAGACCUCACUUUGUGGGAUUUCACUGGGUAUGUUGUUGUUGUACAAAAGACAACCAGCGAUAAAACAUUCUAUUAUAUUGUUGCAAAUAAAUGAACCAGAAAAUAACAACAUAUAUCUGUAUCAAGAGUUCAAAAGAGCUUCAAAGUUUGGAUAUCUUUUAGCAGUUAUUCCAUCAACCUUCAUAUCUCUCCGGUGAUCCUCUUUCACGUUGUAGACAGUCAAAUACUUAUCUCUAUCCACAUUCAAUACAACAUCAUCAUCACUGAUCGCACAAAAUGGUACGAGACCAUCCAUUCUAGCAACCCUAAAUCUAGUCCAGGACUCCUCAACUCGAUACUCUCUCAUCAUCCAAGCAUCAAUUUCGUUUCCUAGUGUAUCAUAUAACAUACAAAGAUAUCCUCUAAGAUCUGAAAGCUUAUUAAACAAUAACUUAUUGUUAGUAGGUGUUGACACCUCCAAGAAUUUCUCAUUACAUCAAAUGAAAAACAACCAUUACAUAUGGAAAAAACAGGAGCUUUCCUAGUCAAUCAAUGCAAAUCCCCAUUUACACAAUCUCCUCCAUAGCUAUUCUCAUAGUGUAGACAUCAACAAAAGUAGUGUCAAUAUCGAUAUCGAAAAAGAGUAACCACCUUAUAAUCAUCACUAACAAAAUCAUACCUCUUAGUACCACAUCAACUCAGAAUAUCACAUCAAGCAAUAUGGUAACCCUCAGUUCCCUUGCCAAGCAUCGGCAAGACAAGACUCUCGAUGAAAAUUCCAGUCCUUUCAAACAUAUAAGUUAAUCCAUCUACCUCCAUAUAUCUCCAUUGAUCCUCUUUGAUGUUGUAGACAGUCAACCUAUCCCUAUCCACACUCAAUACAACAUCAUCAUCACUAAUCGGACAAAAUGGUACCGAACCAUUCUCUAAAUCCAUUCUAUCAAUCCUAAAUGUAGUCCAAGACUCCUCAACUCGAUACUCUUUCAUCACCCAAACAUCAAUUUCGCUUUCUAAUAAAGCACAAAACAUACAAAGACACCCUCUAAAACUCCUAAGUUCAUACCAAUCCAACUCAUUUCCAUAAAGAUUAGUAGGUGCUGGUACCUCGAAAAAUUUCUCAUCACUUAAAUCAAAACCAAUAAUUACGAAUGAAGAAGCUUUACUUGCCAUCCAAUGCAAAACCCCAUUUACCAACACCCCAGAAGCCCCUCCUCGCUCCGAAAGUACAUCAUCGUAAGGUAAACUCUCUAGUCUCCUCCAUAAACCCAUUCUCACCGAAUAGACAUCAACAAAAGUAGUGUCAAUAUUCCCUUUUCGAUAUCGAGAAAGAUUAACCACCUUAUAAUCAUCACUAGCAAAAUCAUACCCAAAACCAUACUCUCUGUAGCUACUUUGCUG